RNAcentral lists this transfer RNA (75 nucleotides) under Thermoplasmata archaeon. RNAcentral describes it as "tRNA-Arg". It matches the Rfam family "tRNA". Rfam says of the family: Transfer RNA (tRNA) molecules are approximately 80 nucleotides in length. Lineage: Archaea; Methanobacteriati; Thermoplasmatota; Thermoplasmata. The record is from RNAcentral.
GGGCGCGUAGCCUAGCCUGGAUAGGGCACCGGGUUCCUAACCCGGGGGUCGGGGGUUCAAAUCCCCCCGCGCCCG